UUCUGCCUUGCAUCAGAUCCACACUAAAAUUGGAACGACACAGAGAAGAUUAGCAUGGUCCAUGCGCAAGGAUGACACGCAAAUUCGUGAAGCAUUCCAUAUUUAA
Molecule: small nuclear RNA, 106 nt
Organism: Caretta caretta (loggerhead turtle)
Lineage: Eukaryota; Metazoa; Chordata; Testudines; Cheloniidae
Source: RefSeq, a predicted model, not a curated record